Long non-coding RNA from Ruditapes philippinarum (Manila clam), 960 nucleotides. RefSeq lists it as uncharacterized. Lineage: Eukaryota; Metazoa; Mollusca; Bivalvia; Venerida; Veneridae. The transcript is spliced from 2 exons. The record is from RefSeq and is a predicted model, not a curated record.
AGCAUUAUCCGUGUUAAUGUGAUAAUGCAGUUUAUCUAGACAAUUCUUUCAUUAUAAGGGAGAUAAGUCGUAAGGUCUUAUUACACGCAGCUCAGAUUAUGUGUCCCCUUUAGUUGAAAGGUCGCAGUUAAUGCUAGCGCUUACGUCAUCAGUCGUCUACGUCAUCUAUUCCGGACUUUAGUUGAAAGGUCGCAGUUAAUGCUAGCGCUUACGUCAUCAGUCGUCUACGUCAUCUAUUCCGGACUUUAGUUGAAAGGUCACAGUUAAUUAAUGCUAGCGCUUACGUCAUCAGUCGUCUACGUCAUAUAUUCCGGAGCACAUGGUCCAGUCUCUUUUUUUAUGUGAAUCGAAGUUGAACCCGCCCACCCUACCCAUAGUUAUCAAAUAGAAAAUUAAGAAUUUAUACAAUGUAUACUAUAUAUCUGUUUCUGCUCUUGUUUUCUUUAUAUUUGCAGUUACUUGUGAGUGGCACCUUACGACCAACAAAUGAAAUAGUUUGCUAACUCCAAUUCGUCGACAGUCGACAUUAGAAAAUUGAGGAUUGUCCAUGGCAGUAUUUUUCGACGCAGUGUUUUAUUAACUAAAAAUAAUUCAAUUUAAGUUAAAGAAAGAUAUAAAACAUUGUGUUAAAUACUGUUUGUGAUUGAACCCCAACAGUUAGAUCUAGCAGUAAUCAUUAAUUCGGCGAUUGGUCAUUCAAUCUGCCAUUGGACUUGUUGUGUACGAGUCGAACUUGAAAUUGAUUUGUUGAUUUAUGUAUGAUGAACUGAAUGAUAAACAAUGACUUGUGAAUGAAAAACAGUGAUAAAUGAUGGUUUAAUAAUGAUUAUACAAUCAAUAACAAAGUGGCUUGGUCUAUUCCCCAGCACUAUUAUUUUCCUUUGCAUGUUUCAAUUUUUUUCAUGAAUUCGAUAUCGUCGACUGUCAGGCAAUUAUUCCACUAAUAAAUUUUAAUGAUAA